RNAcentral lists this ribosomal RNA (374 nucleotides) under uncultured organism. RNAcentral describes it as "bacterial SSU rRNA". It matches the Rfam family "Bacterial small subunit ribosomal RNA", at positions 526 to 896 of the family's 1533-position model. The record is from RNAcentral.
CGGGGGGAGCAAGCGUUGUUCGGAUUUACUGGGCGUAAAGGGCGCGUAGGCGGCCAGCGCAAGUCAGCUGUGAAAUCUCCGGGCUUAACUCGGAAAGGUCAACUGAUACUGCGCGGCUAGAGUGCAGAAGGGGCAACUGGAAUUCUCGGUGUAGCGGUGAAAUGCGUAGAUAUCGAGAGGAACACCUGCGGCGAAGGCGGGUUGCUGGGCUGACACUGACGCUGAUGCGCGAAAGCCAGGGGAGCGAACGGGAUUAGAUACCCCGGUAGUCCUGGCCUUAAACGAUGGAUGCUUGGUGUCUGGAGUUUUAUAGUCUCCGGGUGCCGUAGCUAACGCGUUAAGCAUCCCGCCUGGGGAGUACGGUCGCAAGACUG